Molecule: long non-coding RNA, 800 nt
Filed under: Nicotiana tabacum (common tobacco)
Lineage: Eukaryota; Viridiplantae; Streptophyta; Magnoliopsida; Solanales; Solanaceae
Description: long non-coding RNA (NTAB_LNC000332)
Source: RNAcentral
GGAAGGCGUGGGCGUAGCACACAAAAAUAUGGGAAUCGGGCGGAAUUCUAGUUUUUUUGAUACAAAAAAUGACAAAAAAUGAGGAACGAUCAUGGCGAGGCGGUGACUAUGGUCCCUUAGGUCGUAAUUGAUGGACCAUAAUAUUUUUAGGCGAUCCGAGUCCGGCGGCCCGGCCCACUCGGAAGGCGUGGGGCAUACAAAAAUAUGUUAAUCGAGCGUAAUUUUAGCUUUUUGGCCAAAAAACGCAAUAAAUGAGGAACGAUCAUGGGGGGGCGGUGACUAUGGUUCCUUAGGUCGUAUUUGAUGGCCCGGAAAAUUUUAGGCGAUUGGGGUGCACGGUUCCCGGGACCACUCGGAAGGCGUAAGCUAUAGCACACGAAAAUAUGCAAAUCGCGCGGAGUUCUAGUUUUUUGGCCGAAAAAUGCAAAGCAUUUGGAACAAUCAUGUUGGGGCGGUGACUAUGGUACCUUAGAUCGUAUUUGAUAGUCCGAAAAUAUUUUAGGCGAUCGGGGUCCGCGGCUCCCCGGAUUACUUGGAAGGCAUGGGUAUAGCACACGGAAAUAUGGGAAUCGGGCGUAAUUCUAGUUUUUUGGCCGAAAAAUGCAAAAACUAAGAAACGAUGAUCGCGGAGCGGUUACUAUGGUUCCUUAGGUCCUAUUUGACGGCCCGGAAAAUUUUUAGGCGAUCGGGGUCCGGGGGUCCCGGAACCACUUGGAGGGGUGGGCAAUAGCACACAAAAAUAUUGUAAUCGGGCGGAAUUCUAGGUUUUUGGCCGAAAAAUGCAACAAAUGAGGAAUGAU